This 6814-nucleotide long non-coding RNA is filed under the name Citrus maxima (pomelo). RNAcentral's name for it is "long non-coding RNA (CMAX_LNC000533)". The record is from RNAcentral. Lineage: Eukaryota; Viridiplantae; Streptophyta; Magnoliopsida; Sapindales; Rutaceae.
GAAAAACUGGCAUUGGGGAGUUUAAGCACUUGGGCUAAAAUACUUGGCACGAUAGUAUCAGUAUCAGGAGCAAUGCUGGUGGUUCUUUAUAAAGGCCCAACUAUCAUAUCGACUUCAUCAAUGCCUUCACAAUCUCUUCAAUGGCCUCUACAAUCAACACAGUCAAGAUGGGUCAUCGGUGGCAUAUUGCUUCUUAUUGAGAACCUACUUAUUUCAGUCUGGUACAUUAUACAGGUACAUAACAAAAUUAUGAAUAAUGCUCAGAGUUUCAGCAUACGAGUAAUCCCAAUUAAUGUGUCAGCUUAUUAAACAGAACCUCAUUUGGUAAAUUAUUAAUCACAUCAUGAUGUUACAGUUACAGAUAAAACUACCAUAUCUAUUUAGUAUUCAAAUGUUGGGACUUUUAGUAUCAUCGUAAAAUUAUUACAUUAAUUCUCUAAUAUACUUUCAUAUAAAGAUUUUAAAGAUAUUUGGGAUUCUGUGACUUUUUAACAGACCCAAAUUAUGAAGUUAUACCCAGCAGAAUUUGUCGUAACAUUGCUUUACGGCUUGUUUGCCACAAUUAUAUCUGCGCCGAUAUGUUUCAUGGGAGAGUCAAAUUUGAGUGCUUGGAGGCUAAAACCUGACGUAGAAUUGGCUUCCAUUGUAUAUUCGGUAAGACUCCAAUCCAAUAGAAGAGACUUGAAUUCCGAAGAAGGGCAUCGAUUGAAAUGCCUUAGUGAAAGAUUCUUUUCUUUUUGUUUCAGGCAUUUUUUGGAUUAACAUUUAGUGCUGUUGUGCACACAUUUGGCCUGCGCAUGAAAGGCCCUGUGUACACAGCAAUUUUCAAGCCUUUGUCAAUUGCCAUCGCAGCCAUUAUGAGUUUCAUAUUCCUCGGCGAGGCUCUCCAUCUAGGGAGGUAAUAUUAUUAUAAUCAAUUACCCACUAGUUGGCUUGCUAGUUUUUGUUUUGAAUUUCGAGUCGGGGCCGAACUUUUUAUAAUCUUUUGCUGACGUGAAUUUAUAACAAUAUAUGAUUAAAAUUUAAUUUUAUAUUAUUUCUUAUUUAAUAACUAUCAAUUAUAAAUUAUUAAAAAAAAAUUAGAAAGAUUAUCAACUUAUCGCAAAAUUUAAAUCCAUUUUUGUUCUUGUAUGACUUAUUAAUGUCUUUCUUAAUUAUAAUCUCUUUUGUUGCAUGCAGCGUGAUUGGAGGAGUAAUAAUAUGUGUAGGGUUUUAUGCUGUAUUAUGGGGAAAGGCCAAUGAUGAAGGGGGAAAGAACGAAGACUCUUGUAAAAUCCCAUUGUUGCAAAGUCCUUCAAAUUGAAGACAUACAUAGAUUGUACGGUAUCAAAUAUCUUAUUGCUAACCGCUUGUAUGCAUUGUCAAUUGGAGCUAUGUCUUUAGGGGUUUAUUCAUCAUUUUACUCUGAGUUGUAUGUUGUCGCUAUGAUUUUGGAGGUUGUCAUGUCUAAGGGUUGGUCUCUUAUUUGGCUUGAAUGUGAUUCUCUUGAUACUGUUGUUUAUUUUUAGCGUUCAAUUUAUCUCACUUCUAAUGAUCUCUAUGUUCGUUGGUUGAAUUAUACCUGUCGAUUUAGACUUGUAUCCUUCAAAUGGAUUGGGAGAGAUGGGUAGUGUGCAUCUGUCUCUGUCUGUCUAUGUGUGUGUGCUGUGUAGAAAUUCUUUAUUUAUUUAUAUUUUUUAAUUUUAAAUAUUUUUUAAUUUCAAGUGGAAGAAUUGAUUAAUUUGUCGAUUCGGUUCAGUUUUGACCCGAAUUGAACACAAACCAAUCGAUUUACUUAUUUUUGACCCAUUCGAUUCUUACUUUCUGAAUCGAACUGAACCAAACGGAAAGAUUUCAAUUCGGUUCGACAAAAACUGAAUCAUUUGCCCACCCCUACUACAUAAUCAAAAUUAGAUUAAUUAACAUACAUACCUUUACAUUUAAAAAUAAUAUGUUUUGAAUACUAAGUGAUGCAGUGGAAAAUUAAUGUUUUAAUAUUCAGUUGAUUCUAAAUAAUACUAAAAUAAAAGAAGAACUAAAUUCAUGUUCAUUCGAAAGAAUACUAUGAAUUUAUGGGGUUAAGACUCAUAGAUUCCGCAAAAUAUCGAAAAUCAACUAAUCUUAAAAACUCAUAUAGAACUUUAAACUUAAAUCUACUUUCAAAGGCUACAAGAGAGGGUUAUUUAUAUUAUUAGUAAUUAUCUUAAAUCAUAAAGAAGGAAAUAAAGUCUAAAACUAGAAAGAAAAGAAUGAUAAACUCUAGACAAUAAGAAAAUUAAUCUAAAUAUAAUAAGAAUUUCUAAUAGGCAUCAUUAAGUUUCAGUGAUUAUGAAUAAAAUAAUAAAAAUAGCAAGACCGACAGCACUUUUAGAAAUAUUUAGGCAGACAACAAUAGCAAGAAUGGUAACUGAAUUUUUCAAUCAAACAUGUUCUCAGACCCAAAUAUAUUAGUUCGAAAUUAAUGUGUGAAUUGGCAUCAACAAUGAAUAGCAUCUUCCUCUCGAUAGUUGAAAAGACAAAAUUCCUAUGAUUGUCAGUGUAUAUUUUUUUUAAUGGUUGGUAAGAGCAAUUAAGAGUCAAACCUUGCCAUUCCCAACGAACGAUAGAGUGUGUGUGUAUUGUGUAGAGGUGGAAAGGAGCAACUCAUUCAAAGAUGGUGUGUUAUUCACAGCCAUUCCCAAUGAUGUGUGUACUUGGAUCGGUUUGGUUUUUAUCCGAACUGAAGACAAACCAAUCAAUUUGCUUAUUUUUUACCCGUUCGGUUCUAAUUCUCUGAAUCGAAUCGAAUCGAACUGAAAAAUUUUGAUUUGGUUCAGCAAAAACUGAACUGUUUGCCCACCCCUACUAUAUAAUCAAAAAUAGAAUAAUUAAUAUACCUAUACAUUUGAAAAUAACAUGUUUUUUAAUAUUAAGUGAUCAUGCAACAAAAAUUUAAUGUUUUAAUAUUUUGUUAAUUUUAGAGAAUAUCAGCACAAAGUCACAAAGGAACAAACUAAAUUUACGUUGAUUCGAAAUAGUAUCAUAAACCUAGGGAAGUUAAGACUCAUUGAUUCCGCAAAAUAUUGAGAAUUAACUAUACUAAAAAACUCACACAUAAUUAUUUGGUUGCGAAUGCAUGGUGUAGGAGCCAAUGCACCGCAGCAGUACUCCAAUAAUUGAUCAAUAUUGUCAUAUGCAAAGAAGUACAACAGUACUCUUACUGUUAUUUGUAAUAGCUUGCACGAGGAAUACUGGGGCAUGCCCAGGAAUUGAUUCAUUUAAUCGGUCUAGCUGCUCCUAUUUGUUGUUGUUUUUUAUUUUUUUUCCCGUUAAAAUACCUAGGCUGUCCUCUUUAUCAAUAGGUUUGCAUGCAACGCAAGGAAAAAAAAAAUUUGACACAAUGGACGAGGUAAUAUGCCCUCAUCGGUCCACAAAAAUCAGCUAGUCCAAGUGGAUUCUUAAAACAUGGAUCAUGAUUCUCUCUUGAUAUGAUCAUUUCCUGAGCAACUCAAUUGUUGAUUGGUAAUUAAUAAAUAAAGUAAUAAAAGAAGUUAAAUCUUACCCAUAUACUACCACUAAAACACACAUAACAAAAGAUCUUAAAAAAUUCAAAAGAAAUCAUAUUAGGAGAUGAUCAUUUUCCCUAAAGGAGAGGGUCACCUCGCAUGACAGGCAACAACAGAGGAACACAUGGACUUCAACCAUAAAGGUCCCUUGCCAUUUGCCAAUCCUUCAAAGACCAACUCACUAGUGCUGCAAAAGUUAUAAGGCUCACUCGUGAGUCCCAAAAGGCCCACGUCUGAAAAACAUUGGGUCAUACGUCAGGCCCAAGAGUCCACCAUGCCUACUACAUUUUCAAACUAAUGUCACAAAUUUCCAUUCAAAAAAAAAAGUAAAGUCACAAAUUUGAUAUUUACAAUAGCUCAUCACUUUUUUUUUUUUUUUAAUUAUACGAGACUAUUACUUAGAUUACAACUCAUAUUUAAUGAGAUUAGUAUAUUGAUAUUUACAAUCAGACAAAUACUGAAACUAAUUUACAAAUUUUAUAUAAUACAAUUCAUAUUUUUACCCUAUCUAAUAUUCGAGGGACGUCCACUAUUGGGACUAAUUUACAAAUCUUAUAUAAUACAAUCUAGAUUUUUACCAUCUCUAAUAUUCGAAGAACGUCUACUCCACUCAUAUUUAAAAAAGGAGAGGACUGCCUUCAAAGACAUACAGAACUCUGAAAACUGAAAGUAUUAUUAAAUUUAAAUCUACCUUCAAAGGAUAUAAGAGAGGACUAUUUAUAUUAAUAGUAAUUAUCUUAAAAAGAAGGAAAAUAAAGUCCUAAACUAGAAUGAAAAGAAUAAUAAACUUUAGAAAAUAAGAAAACUAAUCAAGUAUGAUAAGAAAUCUAAUAAGCAUCACUGUGUCUCGUUGAUUAUGAAUAAAAUAAUAAAAAUAGCAAGACCGAUGGCACUUAUUGAAAUAUUUAGGCGGACAGCACUCAGCAAGAUUGAUAACUGAAUUUUUCAACCAAACAUGCUCUCAAACCCAAAUAUACUUUUGGUUCGAAAUUAAUGUGUGAAGUGGCAUCAACAACGAAUAGCAUCUUCCUCUCUCGAUAGUUUAUCAAUAAAGACAAAAAUUCCUAUAAUUGUCAUUAUAUAUUUUUAUUUUUUUAAUGGUUGGUAAGAGCAAUUAAGAAUCAAACCUUGCCAUUCCCAGCGAACGAUAGAGAGUGUGUGUACUGUGUAGAGAUGGAAAGGAGCAACUCAUACAAGGAUGGUCUGUUAUUCACAGCCAUGGUGGCAGUGGAGUGCACGAAUGUAGGCUUGAACAUUCUAUUCAAGUUAGCCGCUAGCAAAGGAAUGAGCUACUUUGUCUUCGUCUUCUAUUCUUAUGCUUCUACUACUAUUGUUCUCCUCUUUUUCCCCUUCAUCUUUCGCAGGUACUUGAUUAACUGUUACUCUCUCAAAUCUUCUUUUGAUCAUCAAUCACCUCACCAAUAAAAAAAAAUCAUCUUUAAUUUGUUAAUACUUGUUCAGUAACACGGCGUCGCUUCCGUUGUUAAAGUUUCCUGUGAUCUCCAGAAUCUGCCUCCUUAGCCUCGUUGGGUAUGUAGAAUAUUAAUCACUGGAAACAAACUUUGAUUGAUUUGUUUGGUUAUUAAUUAAUUUUCUUGAAUUUUUACUUUUUUUUUUGGUGGUUGGGGGGGGGGGGGGGGGGGAGCAGAUCCUCGUAUGAGAUUCUUAGGUAUACAGGUAUAGCAUAUAGCUCUCCAACUCUAGAUUCAAUGAUCAGCAAUCUCACUCCUGCUUUCACCUUCAUCCUUGCUAUCAUUUUCAGGUUCCAUCCUUUUAUCUUUAAAAGUACUCUAUUAUUUUUAGACAAUUACAUCGAGAUAAGAUAUAAAUUGACCAUUAUAGUCUAAGAAUAUAAUUAUCAGGAAAAAAAAGAAAUAUUAAUAAUUAUUUCCUGAGAAGAAAAAGUUUCUGUGAUUAUUUUACUAAAGUACCAGAAUAUUAUCGUCUUUUUUUCAUAAUUAUUAUACUUUCUUAAAUUGAUUAUGGACCACAUAAAUUAUUCUUGAUACACCAAUGAUGUUCCAUGACAACCAAAAUGGACAAAAAAAAAAAUCUAAAUGAUUGGCGGUUAGAAUAAAAGACCAUAUAUCUAUGUCGGGUCAUGGUUUUAGCGCAUUUGUGUUAUUUGAAAUAUCUCAUCGUUUCCGAACAACUUUCAACAUUUUUGCUUUAAUUUUUUUUUUCAGCUAUGGAAUAGUGGAAAUUAGUGAAAGAGACAACACGAACAGUAGCGAUUUAACAACUACAAGAAUAAAAUUUCAGGAAGUCUGUCAAAUUCGUCAAUUAUCUCAUUUAUAUGUUUCUGUAUUUAUUUGAUCAUUUAUGUCCAUUGACUUGUCCGGUACUGUUAAUUAAUUGCAACAAUGCACAAACGUUUCGCAAUUACAACAUGCCAAUAUCCCUGAUGUUUUGAGAAAGUGUGAAUGGUUUUAUUAAAAAGUAAGUUUACUCACUUGCGUCUCUAAUUUUCUUCAAUAUGUCAACAAAGUCCCAAAUGCUUAUAAGAGUUUUACACCAUAUGCCCUAAAAAUAUACUUUUAUUGCGGAUCUAUAGAGAUCGCACAAUCAGCACGUUCAAUCAUGAAACUAUCUCUCAGACUAAUUCUAAUAGUGAUUUAAGUUAAAUAAUUAAAUAAAUAUUAUUUUGUUUUAGACAUACAACACAUUGGGUGUAAAAUAUCUCAAAGAAUAUUUAAGUUGUCAUAUAACUUUUAUGGCGGUGACCCACUUACUUUAGUCCAUUGUUUUUUAUCAUUUUUGUCUUUUGAUGUCGAAAUUUCUCCUCAGCUAUCAUCGUCAACUGUCACUUUUUUACAAUUAUGUAAAUAAUUAUGGAAAAAUAGUUUGUUUUUUCUCUCUCGAAAUAAAAGUGGAAUGACAUUCUUCGAAUAUUUAAAAAUGUCAAAAUCUAAAUUCUUGUCUCAAAAUUAUUUGAUUAUAAAUAUAUCAAUAAAUAUUCUCAUGUAAUGUGAGUUGUAAUCCUAUACAUUAGUCUCUUGUGAUAAAAAAAAAAAAAAACUGUCACUUUUUCAUUUGAUCUUUUUCUCUUUUCUUAUUUUCUCCAAAUAGGAUGGAAAAACUGGCAUUGGGGAGUUUAAGCACUUGGGCUAAAAUACUUGGCACGAUAGUAUCAGUAUCAGGAGCAAUGCUGGUGGUUCUUUAUAAAGGCCCAACUAUCAUAUCGACUUCAUCAAUGCCUUCACAAUCUCUUCAAUGGCCUCUACAAUCAACACAGUCAAGAUGGGUCAUCGGUGGCAUAUUGCUUCUUAUUGAGAACCUACUUAUUUCAG